UACGGAGGGUGCAAGCGUUAAUCGGAAUUACUGGGCGUAAAGCGCACGCAGGCGGGUUGUUAAGUCAGAUGUGAAAUCCCCGGGCUCAACCUGAGAACUGCAUUUGAAACUGGCAAGCUAGAGUGUGGUAGAGGGAGGUAGAAUUCCAGGUGUAGCGGUGAAAUGCGUAGAGAUCUGGAGGAAUACCGGUGGCGAAGGCGGCCCCCUGGACGAAGACUGACGCUGAGGUGCGAAAGCGUGGGGAGCAAACAGG
RNAcentral lists this ribosomal RNA (253 nucleotides) under uncultured bacterium. RNAcentral describes it as "partial 16S ribosomal RNA". It matches the Rfam family "Bacterial small subunit ribosomal RNA", at positions 524 to 776 of the family's 1533-position model. The record is from RNAcentral.